Molecule: long non-coding RNA, 2524 nt
Organism: Anguilla anguilla (European eel)
Lineage: Eukaryota; Metazoa; Chordata; Actinopteri; Anguilliformes; Anguillidae
Exons: 2
Source: RefSeq, a predicted model, not a curated record
GCAAUGCCAUUCAUUCGCUUGAAUCGACAUUCCAGCUAGCUAGUUUUAUCUACUUCGCUAGACUAGCUAACGAGUCCAUUCGCUAGAUAGAUUUCUACUUUGGGUAGCUAAGUUAGCUAGUCAAGUACUUUACUUAACCAGUUGUUCAGGUAAUUUGUUGGCUAGAUUAUAUUUUUUAUUAUGCAAAGUUAGGGAUACUCGAAGGGUUGCUAGUUGGCUAAUUUGUACAGGUGUGUCUUAACAGGGAGGUCAGUAAAGUAGCUGAGCUUUUAACUGUUAGCUGGUAAAUUGCCAAGUGCCUUAGUUAGCUAAGAAUGUACUUCAUUAUGUAUAUUAAUCUGUUUAGCGAUGAGCCAGAAGGUCAUUUUAGAAUAUCUUUUUGAUCGGCCUGCUCAGAGGCUAUCCAUCAAAUUCUUUUAAGUCAACGCGCUGUGCGAGGCAUGAGUGGACUGACUUCCGAAAUGACGUUACUUGGCUACAUUGAGAUAUUGUUGGAAGAUAAGUCUUUAUUUGGUUUUAAAGGCUGCGUCGAAUCCUGCAGCGGUUUGCUGCAUGGGCAUCGAGUAUACCAACGAAGUAGCCAGAUGUGUAUAUUUUAAGUGCUGUGCAUUCGGUAAGCAUUUAUUCACCCAUGCUUGAACGAGUUUUCUCAGUUUAGUUGGGCAGUUAUUACAUACGCCAUUUCGUUCCCUUUUUUAACGCAAGAUGCCAUUUUGGCGUCUGAGGGCGGAAGUGUCAGCAGUUGUCAAUCAGCUACUGCAACCAUAUAUAUUGUUUUAUCCAACGCAACAUUUCUAGCGUUCUGUCACUUUCGGUCAUUUUUUAAAAAUUAUGACUAUGUAAAUGUUUGGAGUGGACUCAUUCCUUGCACAGUUAUAGCAGAUACGAAUUUGCACUGUAAUUGGCUUCAUUUAAUUGUGCAUUUAAUAGUUCUAUUUUUCCCAAAAAUAUUUAUUCUUUGAAAUUGUGCUGCAUUUGUAGUGACGCAUGAACCUAGUAUAAUUCAGAGCAAGCCUAACCUGUAUCUGUAAUAUGCUAUUGGAGGAAAAGCGAAUUUGCUCGUGGAACUUUAGUCGACGGUAGGAAGAUUUUCGAUAAAUUCUGUUAAUUGUAUGGGGGUUAGCGCAUAAAACUGAUACUAGGCUAUGUAAUGGAGAACACUAGCAUGUUGUCCAUGUAGAUAGCGUGGUUUGAUGUACACGUGCAAAUGAGUGCAUUUUGAAAUGACAUGCACAGUGGUCGCCAUUUAGCUGAAACUUCCACAGCCGGUUAACAUGGAGCAGAGUGGAAAAUUACCAAAAUCAAGCGGGUGUGUCGGGGGCGGGCCUGAGGUCGAGCAAGUCGGGGCGUAGUAGAAUCUGCGCAGUCUUGCUUCGAACUGGGCGUUACAUCACGGAGGACACGCUCGGCUGAAAGAAGAGGACUAUUCUGUUAAACCUAGGGCGGGGUGCGGCUCUUGGCUCAAACACCCUUUAAGCCCACACCACGUGGUUUCAUCGCAGACAAUGGUUGGCCAGUCGGCUGGGUGUGUGUAGGUAUACCUUAGCCGAAUAGUUGGCAGGCAUGUGGUUGGUACCAAGGGGUUGGCAAUAUGAAUCUUCUGACAGAUAUGACCAAUCGACGCAAUGUAGGCACAACGUAACCCCCGAAAGUGAAUAGGAGGGAUGAAAUUUGGCGUGGCAGGCUUAGAGUAUGGUGGCAGGGCCAGCUUUAGGUUCUCAACCUCAGCACCGGAUGUAAUGUCGCCCCCUGCUGAUAUCUGAUUGUCGCUCAAAAACCAAGUUUUCCUAUUGGGCUCCAUUCAUUUUUGACUUUUUUUUGCCCUGAACUGUGCCUGCCAGGCUGCCGCCUCUGCUACAUUCUCACCCAAGCUCUCUUGGGUCAACUAAGACCCCAGCUUAUGCAGACAAGACCAGCAAUUCCAAGCCAUUGCGAAUGCUGUGCUAUAACUAGUAAUGUAAAGGUUAACUGACGAGCUAGCCAACAAAUUCCAUUUAUCUAGAACAACAAACUCAUGAUUCCACACAGAUACACUGACAUCACUUAAUGUUACCCUUGGCUCUAUAACAAUUAGCAGGUACAUUACUGUUGUCAUUUUCCUUUGGGAACUGAAUGUGCUAGCUGGCUAGCUACCUGGUUGAUCUGUUGGUAAUUUAAUUAAUAUCAGCAUGUAAAUUGCUGGCUUGUUAGCUGUAUCGCUGCCUAGUACUAGCAGGGCUGUUGAGUAUUUUUAGUUGGCUAGCUUGUCAGUUAUCUUUUCAAUUUGUAUUGGUCUACUUUGCUGUCUAGCUAGCUAGGCAGGUGUACCUCUUAUUGAAAAAUUAGUGUGCCAUGUUGCCGGUUAGCAUCCUAGUAGGUGCAGUUUAGGGCAAAGUUCUGUAGGCGAGAUGGUCACACGCGAUGUCAAUAUGGCAUUCACCUCCAAUUGGUUUAAAAUGUCACAUGGGUGGUUAUGUCGGGUGUGUCUUGUCAUUUGAAUGAGUGGUUGAACGUCUUUUUUUUUUUUUUUUUUUUUUUUUUUUUU